UGGGGAAUAUUGCACAAUGGGCGGAAGCCUGAUGCAGCGACGCCGCGUGAGGGAUGACGGCCUUCGGGUUGUAAACCUCUUUCAGCAGGGACGAAGCGUAAGUGACGGUACCUGCAGAAGAAGCACCGGCCAACUACGUGCCAGCAGCCGCGGUAAGACGUAGGGUGCGAGCGUUGUCCGGAUUUAUUGGGCGUAAAGAGCUGCGUAAGGCGGCUUGUCGCGUCGACUGUGAAAACCCGCAGCUCAACUGCGGGCCUGCAGUCGAUACGGGCAGGCUAGAGUUCGGUAGGGGAGACUGGAAUUCCUGGUGUAGCGGUGAAAUGCGCAGAUAUCAGGAGGAACACCGAUUGGCGAAGGCAGGUCUCUGGGCCGAUACUGACGCUGAGGAGCGAAAGCGUGGGGAGCGAAACA
RNAcentral lists this ribosomal RNA (411 nucleotides) under uncultured Micromonospora sp. RNAcentral's name for it is "bacterial SSU rRNA". It matches the Rfam family "Bacterial small subunit ribosomal RNA", at positions 355 to 775 of the family's 1533-position model. Lineage: Bacteria; Bacillati; Actinomycetota; Actinomycetes; Micromonosporales; Micromonosporaceae. The record is from RNAcentral.